GGACCCGCACAAGCGGUGGAUGAUGUGGAUUAAUUCGAUGCAACGCGAAAAACCUUACCUACCCUUGACAUGCCAGGAAUCCCGGAGAGAUUCGGGAGUGCCCGAAAGGGAGCCUGGACACAGGUGCUGCAUGGCUGUCGUCAGCUCGUGUCGUGAGAUGUUGGGUUAAGUCCCGCAACGAGCGCAACCCUUGCCAUUAAUUGCCAUCUUUCAGUUGGGCACUUUAAUGGGACUGCCGGUGACAAACCGGAGGAAGGUGGGGAUGAGGUCAAGUCCUCAUGGCCCUUAUGGGUAGGGCCUCACACGUCAUACAAUGGCCGGUACAGAGGGCUGCCAACCCGCAAGGGGGAGCCAAUCCCAGAAAGCCGGUCGUAGUCCGGAUUGUUCUCUGCAACUCGAGAGCAUGAAGUCGGAAUCGCUAGUAAUCGCGGAUCAGCAUGUCGCGGUGAAUACGUUCCCGGGUCUU
Molecule: ribosomal RNA, 466 nt
Filed under: uncultured bacterium
Lineage: Bacteria
Description: bacterial SSU rRNA
Rfam family: Bacterial small subunit ribosomal RNA
Source: RNAcentral